Molecule: ribosomal RNA, 253 nt
Filed under: uncultured bacterium
Lineage: Bacteria
Description: partial 16S ribosomal RNA
Rfam family: Bacterial small subunit ribosomal RNA
Source: RNAcentral
UACGAAGGGGGCUAGCGUUGCUCGGAAUCACUGGGCGUAAAGCGCACGUAGGCGGCUUUCUAAGUCAGGGGUGAAAUCCUGGAGCUCAACUCCAGAACUGCCUUUGAUACUGGGGAGCUCGAGUCCGGAAGAGGUGAGUGGAACUCCGAGUGUAGAGGUGAAAUUCGUAGAUAUUCGGAAGAACACCAGUGGCGAAGGCGGCUCACUGGUCCGGUACUGACGCUGAGGUGCGAAAGCGUGGGGAGCAAACAGG